GGCUGAAAUUACGCCUUCAUGAAGCUGGAAUUGCUAGUAAUGGCAGGUCAGCAUACUGCCGUGAAUACGUUCCCCGGGCCUUGUACACACCGCCCGUCACACCAUGAGAGUUGGAAAUACCCGAAGCCUGUGAGCUAACUUAAAGAGGCAGCAGUCGAAGGUAGAGCCAAUGAUUGGGGUGAAGUCGUAACAAGGUACC
This 199-nucleotide ribosomal RNA is filed under the name uncultured bacterium. RNAcentral describes it as "partial 16S ribosomal RNA". It matches the Rfam family "Bacterial small subunit ribosomal RNA", at positions 1303 to 1500 of the family's 1533-position model. The record is from RNAcentral.